UUCAAUAGCGGAGGAAAAGAAACCAACUGGGAUUGCCCUAGUAACGGCGAGUGAAGCGGCAACAGCUCAAAUUUGAAAUCUGGCCUCCUCUGGGGGUCCGAGUUGUAAUUUGCAGAGGGUGCUUUGGCGUUGGUGGCGGUCUAAGUUCCUUGGAACAGGACAUCGCAGAGGGUGAGAAUCCCGUUUGUGGUCGCCUGCCUUCGCCGUGUAAAGCCCCUUCGACGAGUCGAGUUGUUUGGGAAUGCAGCUCUAAAUGGGAGGUAAAUUUCUUCUAAAGCUAAAUACUGGCCAGAGACCGAUAGCGCACAAGUAGAGUGAUCGAAAGAUGAAAAGCACUUUGGAAAGAGAGUCAAACAGCACGUGAAAUUGUUGAAAGGGAAGCGCUUGCAGCCAGACUUGCCCGCAGUUGCUCACCCAGGCUUUUGCCCGGGGCACUCUUCUGCGGGCAGGCCAGCAUCAGUUUGGGCGGUCGGAUAAAGGCCUCUGUCACGUAUCUUCCUUCGGGAUGACCUUAUAGGGGAGGCGACAUGCGACCAGCCCGGACUGAGGUCCGCGCUUCUGCUAGGAUGCUGGCGUAAUGGCUGUAAGCGGCCCGUCUUGAAACACGGACCAAGGAGUCUAACAUCUAUGCGAGUGUUUGGGUGUCAAGCCCGAGCGCGUAAUGAAAGUGAACGGAGGUGGGAACCCUUGGGUGCACCAUCGACCGAUCCUGAUGUCUUCGGAUGGAUUUGAGUAAGAGCAUAGCUGUUGGGACCCGAAAGAUGGUGAACUAUGCUUGAAUAGGGUGAAGCCAGAGGAAACUCUGGUGGAGGCUCGCAGCGGUUCUGACGUGCAAAUCGAUCGUCAAAUUUGGGCAUAGGGGCGAAAGACUAAUCGAACUAUCUAGUAGCU
This 891-nucleotide ribosomal RNA is filed under the name Helminthosporium juglandinum. Its description in RNAcentral is "partial large subunit ribosomal RNA". It matches the Rfam family "Eukaryotic large subunit ribosomal RNA", at positions 42 to 952 of the family's 3401-position model. Lineage: Eukaryota; Fungi; Ascomycota; Dothideomycetes; Pleosporales; Massarinaceae. The record is from RNAcentral.